UCGUUUGACAGAUAUAGGUUACAGUGAGGAAUAGCUGGAUGCAGGUUAUUAAGACAGAAGAAAAAAAUGUCACCAGAUACUGCAAGAAAUAAUGCACAAGAGACAGUAAUGUUGCCUUGUAAUACGUGUGUGCACGCAGUAAAACUAUAAUAGUAGUAUUAGAAGUGCGACAUAUUUUAUUAUAUUUCACAUCAAGAAGAGGAGCAUAUAACAUCAUCAAUAAAAGAUCUUUGAUUGAUAUAAGCAGCGACAGUCGUUCCAAUAAGAGGAAACGAAGGGAUGAAUUGCUUGUUUCAUGAAGCAAAUAAUUUGAUGACGAAGCAACAGUAUUUUGGUGCUCUCCAAAAAUAGGAGCUGUCGCUGUGAAAUUCUAGUAUUUUAUCUGAGUGAAGGAUAUCUGGUAGUGAUUAUUAAAAUACCACAAGAAGAAUCGUGCAAGUAUUACAGGAAAUACGAUAAAGUUUGACAGGUAUAUUGAAAUUGGCCAAUUAAAAUAUACUACGAUCUGACAAAGUGUACAAUGGAAGGAAUUAAGUGAGCUGUACAUAAUAUAAUUGAAGCAUAAGAUGAUGAUGAGCGGUGUGGAUAACAAAUUUGCUGGUAUUUGUAUUAAUUCAUGAAAUGAAUGAAUAAAUGUUUGUAAUUAAUAAAUUAAUAUCAUAUGAAAUAUAUAUAUUCACUUUCUUUACCCGCUCUCCUUUUCUUUUUCUCUCUUCAAUUA
Molecule: long non-coding RNA, 721 nt
Organism: Hylaeus anthracinus
Lineage: Eukaryota; Metazoa; Arthropoda; Insecta; Hymenoptera; Colletidae
Exons: 3
Source: RefSeq, a predicted model, not a curated record